ACAUCUCUUCCUGUAAUGUUUGUAGGUAAUUCGGCUGGGGGCCACCCCUGUUAGCCUGAGCUUGCUCUCUAUCCAGGUUUAUGCUUCCUCUUCAGAGAAGGAGACUUCCAAAAAGGAGUUGCUGAAAAUUGAGGAGCUGUCACUCUACUCCUCUCCAGCUCGUGAGACUAAAUAUGUGGAGAAUCCACAAACCCAAUUGGAAGAGGGGGUUUCGCGUUUACGGCAUGUUAUGGAACCAUAUACAGCCUGGUGUCAGGAUCUUUAUGCCAAAGCUAUGCCCAAAUUAGAAAAAGCUGUUGAGCAUGGUAGAGAGGGCUGUGAAUUUCUCCAAAACCCCCCUGCUGGAUUUUAUCCAAGGCUUGGUGUGAUAGGUUUUGCUGGAAUUGUUGGAUUGUUUCUUGCUAGAGGCUCCAGAAUAAAGAAGUUAGUAUAUCCUGCAGGUCUCAUGGGUAUUGGUGCCUCCAUGUAUUACCCUCAGCAGGCGGUUUCUAUUGCAAAGGUUGCUGGUACACAGCUGUAUGACUGGAGUCUUCAGGGAUAUAUUGCUGUAGAAUCUCUUUGGAAGGAUAAUCCUAAGAAGAAGAAAUCUGGGAAAAAAAGUGAUAAGGGUGAUGCAGAUAGUGACAAGCCCUUGGAAAUCCAUGCUGCUUCAAAUGAAGAGCGAGCCCCGAAGUAGAACACCAGAUCACUUGGCAUCAAACAGAUGUGAUGGAACGUACACAUCUGCAUUUCUUACUACGUGAAUAUAAUUUCUGGUAAACAAAAAAUAUAGAUAUGAGCAACAAUUUCCCAAGAAAAAGAGGAAAACCGUCUGAAUCCGUUUUGAUUUUGAAUGUGACUAAUCUGCCUUCUGCCUCAGGAAAGACUGACAGUGUGCUGCUUGGGCUUCUGGUGUGGAAUCUGUGAAAGGACACUAAGUAUUUUGGGUCAGUCCUGAGACCUUGUCCUCAGUUCUGCAGUGGGACUCAAGUCUGCCCAUGCUUGUCCCAUUGCAGGAUCAGCGUUGCAAGUAGCAAGUCUCAAAAUUCCUCGGUCUCUUGUUAUUAUUUAUAUAUAAAAUAAAAUUCCAGUUACACAAAAUGGUCCUUUUUUUUCCUCCUCUUAUCUUCUUUAAACUCAUGUAUGUGACACUUGCACAAUACGUGAAAGGUUCUCGAGAUGCUGUUGACAAUGCCUGUAUUUUUUAACAGUGAGGAAAAGCUUAAAGUAGCAUGAUGUUUUGGCUAACAUUAGUUAAUAGAAUUGAGAAUGAGAAAAAUUACAAUGACUCUUGUGUUUUGUCUGAGUCGCCCCCUCCUUUCUAUACAAAUCUUCUGCCUCAUCAGUGCCAGCGGGAGGUAUAUAAUGAAGCAUCUGUGAGUUCCUGUCUAGUAGAUGGAUGGGAAUGGAGCUGUUAACGUUCUUGUUUUUGCUUGAAUGCACAGCUCAGUGGGAACCAGAACGUUACGGUGGUGGGAACCAGCUAUAGAAUAACUUGGCUGUUUCCUUAUUCCCAGCUAGGGGAGGGGAAGCAAAAGUGAAGCGAAGGGAAAUACAAAAGGAUUUCCAGCAUUUUGAAAUCUCUGCACAAUAAAACCCUUUCAUCAUUUGU
Molecule: RNA transcript, 1591 nt
Organism: Aptenodytes forsteri (emperor penguin)
Lineage: Eukaryota; Metazoa; Chordata; Aves; Sphenisciformes; Spheniscidae
Gene: APOO
Gene name: apolipoprotein O
Exons: 10
Source: RefSeq, a predicted model, not a curated record